This is a long non-coding RNA of Ostrea edulis (European flat oyster), 1009 nucleotides long. RefSeq lists it as uncharacterized. The record is from RefSeq and is a predicted model, not a curated record. Lineage: Eukaryota; Metazoa; Mollusca; Bivalvia; Ostreida; Ostreidae. The transcript has 2 exons.
AAGUCAAUAAAAGCGUGCAAUCGAUGUCGCCGGCACUUUAUUAGAAAAUAAGCUAUAUCAAAUCAUAUAUUUUGUGUGCUAUACAUUCAUGGACCCAUAGCCUCCCUAGGCAUGGUAUACUUUUUAUUUCUCCUUUACUUAUAAACUUGGUAGGAAGCGUAGAUACCCUAAUUUUGUAACAUACGUGACUGUCGCCAACUCAAUUUUUAAAAUUGAACAAGCAAAUAUAAAAAUCUGAGAGCGUGUUUUUUAAUUUUCUUUGCGUUUAUAUCAUUUGUAUUUCCUAAAUUUUCAUUCAAUAAAAGUUUAACACCUUUUACGUAUGAUUUUAAGCAGUGGUGUAUAUAUUACUCCAUGUCGCCAGAUUAUAUUAUGUGAUCAUAGGGUCAAUUAAACACCCAAUGUAUGAACAAAGAUUUCGUAUUAUCUUUAUGUUUUUGAUCUAUUUUGGCGCUAAAAUAUUCAAAAACUGUGUGAAAAUAUUCAUCAAGCGAUAUUUGGAUGUGGCAUUGAGAAGAAGUCAUCAUUAUUCUCAAAUUUUGCAUUCUGAUUUUAGAAAUGUAACAUACGAUACAAUAAUUUUUUUUAUGAAAACGUAUUUGCAGAGCAAAUGUUACCCCUUUUAUGAAAAUCUCGUAGUGUACAGAGAAUGAAAAUAUAAACAUUUCUUUUGCAGAAGUCAUUGGUUGGUCUGAAAUUUGACAAACGUGUCAAGAUGUAACAUUCGUGAUGUAACAUUCGUUACCGAGAAAUUAAUUAAAAGGAAUGAUAUCACAAUUUCCCGCGUAUUUUUGCUCUCUGUCUGCAUGAUGUGGUAUACGACAUGAAUGUCUACUAUGAACAUUUGAGUUUGAAAGUCAAUACGUGUUAAACUUUGAGAAUUAGGAUUAAUUUUCUCUUACGAAAUGGCGCUUGUGAGAGCAGAAGUACAGAAUAACUACCAUGAAAAAAAAUGCAUUAAAACAUAAGAACAACCAUGAAAAAUUGUUUUAGAAAUAAUAUUAUAUGC